UAAACUAGCUAUGUAUCAGCCACUCUGUAUGAAUGCAUUUAUCUAUAUUAUCUCAAAUUUGUCAACUUCCUGGAAAGGUUAAUAUUGUUAUUACCAUUUUAAGAAUGGAAAGACUGGGGCUUGGAGCUAAGUGAAUUGCCUAUCAUUCCAAGACAAGGUGUUUCAGCUGUCUUUGGGUGAGUCAAAUGCUCAAUAUAUUGAAAAUAUGUUCCAGUGAUUGCUACAGGUGGGACCAUAUCAGGGUCAUACUCAGGGAUUACUGAUUUGGGGCCCAAGUCAUAAAUUACAGGUUUUAAAGUAUCAGUGCUUCUGCAAGGUACUUCCUAGUAUUGAAUAAGCUUCCAACCAUAUUUCUCAAACUAUUCCUUGGCCAGAGCUUCACCAUCUGGACAUUAUUACCAAAUUGAUGAAUUAGUGUGAGAAAGUGUCUCUUUUAUUUCCUCACCUUUCCACAGGCAGCUUGAGGCCUCAGCUGAAGAAGAAAAGGACCAUAAGCAGAAUCUAUAAAUGGUGAAAGCAAACUGUCAACUGGAAUAUAUUCAGAAAUCCGCUCAGCCUAAUGCAUGGGUUCAAGAACAAACAUCAGAUUCAUGUUCUCUCCAAGAAUAUUCUCUCUUCAAAACAUCAGACUCAAAUCUAUUGGUGUAAGUAUGGUACUAGAUUUUUCUUUGCUGAUUCAGAGCUGAUUUUUCCACAUUUUUGAUACCCAGCUGAUUAUGUCACUGGAAUAUUUUAAACAUAUCAAAAGCUCUCAAGGCCUGUAGGAUAUAAGUUCUUGACGGUCUCUCAAAGACAGGAGUUUUUCUGUCUUUGUGGUCUCCCAUUAUAUUCCCUCCACUACAGACUAUGGACUCACCUCUCCCUCAAGCAUGCUCUUUUAACUUCUGGAUAUUUGUUUCCUCUUCCUAGAACACUCAUUCCAACCCUUCUGUUUCCUUUAGAUUCUACUUAGCCUUUAAAUCACCACUCAAUAUUCUCCAUUAAUAGAGUCCUUGACUCCUUUGGCAACAUUAGACAUUCUUGUCUCUGUUUCCAUAGACCUUACCUCAACACUAUUUUAGUAUUUCAUACAAUAUGUUUUAACUUGUUUAUCCGUGAUGCUUCUUUCUAUUACUUUGACCUCAUCGAGGGUACACACUGUGUCUUGUUCAACUUAUUAUCCAGUUUUAAGCUCAGUGCUUC
RNAcentral lists this long non-coding RNA (1182 nucleotides) under Bos indicus x Bos taurus (hybrid cattle). Its description in RNAcentral is "lncRNA (ENSBIXG00005001028.1)". The record is from RNAcentral. Lineage: Eukaryota; Metazoa; Chordata; Mammalia; Artiodactyla; Bovidae.